This 494-nucleotide ribosomal RNA is filed under the name uncultured bacterium. RNAcentral's name for it is "SSU rRNA". It matches the Rfam family "Bacterial small subunit ribosomal RNA", at positions 26 to 521 of the family's 1533-position model. The record is from RNAcentral.
AGGACGAACGCUGGCGGCGUGCUUAACACAUGCAAGUGGAGCGACGAACCGGGGCUUGCCCCGGGGCAGAGCCGCGAACGGGUGAGUAACACGUGGGUUACCUGCCUCAAUGACCGGGACAACCCGAGGAAACUCGGGCUAAUACCGGAUGUGCCCGCAAGGGGAAAGGAAGCUUCGGCCUCCGCAUUGAGAUGGGCCCGCGGCCCAUUAGCUUGUUGGUGAGGUAACGGCUCACCAAGGCUUCGAUGGGUAGCUGGUCUGAGAGGACGAUCAGCCACACUGGGACUGAGACACGGCCCAGACUCCUACGGGAGGCAGCAGUGGGGAAUCUUGCGCAAUGCGCGAAAGCGUGACGCAGCAACGCCGCGUGGGGGAAGAAGGCUUUCGGGUUGUAAACCCCUUUCAGUUGGGACGAAGCUUCUUCGGUGAAUAGCCGAAUGGAGUGACGGUACCUUCACAAGAAGCACCGGCUAACUACGCGCAGCAGCCGCGGU